This 7018-nucleotide long non-coding RNA is filed under the name Coffea arabica (coffee). RNAcentral describes it as "long non-coding RNA (CARA_LNC002142)". Lineage: Eukaryota; Viridiplantae; Streptophyta; Magnoliopsida; Gentianales; Rubiaceae. The record is from RNAcentral.
ACUCCUCCAAUUUCAAGCAAACUAAUCUAAGAAAAAGGAAUGAUUGCUCACAUUUAUCAGCAAAUGGUCCAACUAUUAAUCCAAAUCUCAACAUUAACCCAUAGAUCGGUAAGCUGACUUUAGACACACACUUACACAACCUUCACCUUUUUUUAUCACGUUUUUCUAUUUUUCUCUUUUUUUCUUUCUUUUUUUUUUUUACUAUUUUUUUUUCUUUUUCAAUAAUAACAAAAGACUUAGUUUCUAGCCAUUAGAGCCUUUUGACGCGAACUCCAACAUUUGAUAGAUGGAGGAGCCCGGUUACUCAGCUCCAAUCGCUACGAGACCAUGCACUCAUAGCAACUACUACCUUUUGACGCGAAAAUCAACACUUUAGGUGAAGAUCCCCGGUUACUCAGUAGUAACUACUAGCGGAGUACAGUCAACUCUUAUUUACAAUCAUAUAACACAACAACUAAAAAUAACAGCAGCCAGCCUCAAAUUCCAAAUAUGGAGAACUAAAAUUAAUAAUUGGACCAAUUCACAUGAAGAAUGCCAACAAUCAUUCCCUAUGCCUAGAAGAGUUAACCAAAAAUUGAAAAAGUCAAGCAAGUAUUGAUAUUCACCAAAGAGAUGUUCCUGAACUCAACUACAUCAACUUGAUAUCCUUUUAUUACUAAAACUUGGCAAUAGCAGAAUUAGAAACAGCAAUCCAAUAUCAAAACUUGGUAUUCAUAUAAAACUGAUCACUAGUAAAAGUAAAAAAAGAAAAUAAACGAGAAAAUAGAACAAAUAACAACGAAAAUAAAGGAAAAAAAAAACUAAAAACUAAACACCAGAAAUACCAGCUGUACCACAGCUCUCCCUCCACACCUAAAUCCGACAUUGUCCUCAAUGGAGGUAAUAUAGCAAUUAAAGCGAAGAGAAAAACGAAACUUCCCUCUCAAGCGGCUACGGGAUAGGCGGGAACGGGGGAGUGAAGCAGACAUGGUGGAAGUACGCGGCCAGGUUCUUAGAGAUUGGAGCCAUCUGGUUGGCGAUAUGCAUUACUUGCUCAUCCGCGUGGUGAACCUGAUCUCGGAAGUGGCGCCACUUAGCAUCAGAGGCCAUCGGUGGGAGAGGCCACUUAGCAAAUUCAAAACAAUAACAAUUUAAUAGCCACUGGUGCCUCCCUCGUAGACAACCCAAUCAACAAAAUGCACAACCUAGGCACCUAGAGACUAUACAAAUAUCCCAACAAUACAGCAAUUUCAAUCAAUACUCACUGGUGGCCCCAAUUCAGUCAGAUGUAGAAACAAAGCAGUCCGAGAUUACCAACACAACCAGUACCAUUGGUGCACAUAAGACGAAUAAAUUAUACGCCAAACACCACAACCAGUACCACUGGUGCACAUGUAGAAAAGAAGUAAAUCACACGGCCAAACUAAACAAUAAAAUGCACCCCUAAGGCACCCAAAAUACUAGAAAAGUACCCUAACAACACAGCAAAUUGAAUGAAUAUGCACUGGGUCUCCCAUUCAGUCAAAAUAAGAUCAAGGGGCACGAUACAGAAACUAACAAAGCAGAACUCAAGUGAUACCAACAGGGACCCCAAUAGAGCAAAGAAUUUAACCAAACGGAGCAAGUGAAACUCAAUAAAUGUCACCAAUUGGACAUUCAAUUACCCACUUUAAACGACCAAACCUAGCAAUUGGGCCAAGCAAUAGGCAAUUCUAGCAACCACCGUUUAGAAUUUGAGAAACAAUUUAAGCACUAAAACCCAAGAAUCAAGUAGGCAGUCAAGCAUAAAGGAAUAAGAAAUUUUAGUCAACACCACAACCAGUACCUCCGCUGCAGGUACAGGGAAAAAAAAAUUAAAUCAAAUGGCCAACCCACUGCACCUGAUAAAUCCGAACACACCAAGUAGCACAAAAAAUGAGCAGAAAUCAAAACGACAAGCAAUUGGAAACUACCUCCCAAAUCAACCCCAACCAUUCCCAAACAAAUGAACUGGCACAAGAGCCGGCAAAUUUUAUCUCCCAGAUGCAAUAGAAAUCUCAAGUAGUCAAAACCCAAAUAAUAUUCAACAAUAUAAUCAACACCAGAGAGCACCCCAAACAAUGUAACAGUUAAACUCCACGGGCAAGGGACGUCCAACCACUUUCACUCGAGCAAACUAGGAGCAGUGUGAGUAACUAAACAAAGCAACAAAUUUCAGCAAUUGGACACAUAUCCACCCAAAAUCUCAACAACUGUCUCCAAUUGGACAGUUAAAUACCCAGUUAAACCCACCAAAAUUAGCAAAUGACCCAAGAAACCAGCAAUUCCAGCAACUAAUGGUAAGAAUCGAGAGACAGUUCAGGCACCAAAACUCAAGAAUCGAAUAGGCAGUCCAGCACAGAGGAUUAAGAAAUGGAAAGCAACACUGCAACCAGUACCACUGGUGCACAGACAGGAAAGAAUUAAAUUCAAUGGCAGCAACACAACCGCAAGAACUUAAACUUUAAAAUUAAUCAACCAGUACCACUGGUGAGUCACAGGGAAAAAUUAAUCAACCAGCCAAAAAUUCAAAUAAUAGCAGAAAAUAUCCCCACUAUGUCAGCAAUUAAACCCAACUCUGUUCAAAAUUUACCCUAGAAAAUGCCCAAAUUAUCACCUUCGUUUAUCCAUCAAGAAAUUCAACCACAACUUUCAGAGAGUGAAACUAAUUUGGGGAAGAAUUCAAUACCUCCACCUGUCAAAGAAAUUUGACAGGUGGCUUGCGCUGUGUGGACUGGCGGUGGAGCUUGGAGGUGCAGAGGUGGAGCUGGCUGGAGGGCGGCGCGGGGUGAAGCUGGGGCGCGACGGAGGAGGUGCACGCGAGGCGGAUGAGCUGGGGUGGAGGUGACGUGCGGCGGAGAGAGGGAGAAAUAGGCGGGGCUCGUGGGCUGUCGCGAUGGCAGUGGCGGAGUGGCGAGCUGAGGCGGCGGCUUCUCGCGCAGGUGAAGGGCUGAAGAGCUGGUGGUGCGGCGCAGCUGGUCAGUGAAGAGAGGCGCAGCGAGCUCCUGGUGGCGGUGGAGGCGCGCGAGCUCAGGAGGAGCUGCGCGCGAUGGGAAAGGGAGCCGCGGCGUGCGGCGGACGAAGCUGGAGGAGGCGCACGGUGAUGGAGCAGGCCGUGGGUGGGGUGCGGCGAGCUAAGCUGAGGGGGCGGCGCUCCUGGAAGGUGAGAGUGGAGGAGAGGCGCGGCUUGGCCGCGAGCUGAUGGCGUGCGAUCUGAUGGCAUGGGGCAUGGAGCAUGGAGGCUGCGGCUGAAGUAGAAAAGGACAGGGGAAAGGGGAAAGCAGCGGGGAAGAAGGAAGAAAGAAAAAGAAGAAAGAAAGAAAGAAAGAAAAGAAAAAGAAGGAAAGAAAAAAGAAAAGAAAAAAAAAUAGUUUUUUGGGAUUUUUUUUUUUAGUUUAGAAUUUGAAUUUUCCAAAAUAAAAUCGCAGGUUACAAUGGAAAGUAUUUUUUUUUAUUUUUUUCUAAAAAAAAAAUUUUUUUUUUCAAUAAAGAGAAAUAUAAAAAUAUAAAAAUUUUUCUUUUGUCUUUGGGUCGUCAAACACCGCGUGGGCACGCCAAGAUUGACAAACGUCCACUGAUCUCAAGAGUCACAAACACCGCGUGGGCACGCCAAGAUUGCACUUCCUGCCACAGUGGAGAAAAAUAUGAAGAUCGAUUACUACUCAACUGAGAAACGAAAAACGAAAGAAAUGAACAACGAAAAAUAAUAAAAUCAAUAUUUGGGUUGCCUCCCAAAAAGCGCCUUUCUUUAAUGUCUUUGGCUAGACAUUAUUAUGUUUUUUUUUCAUGGAGGAUAAAAUCGUGUGGCUCGUCUCAAUGCUUCAUCUUCAAUGUGAUCCUGGUAAUCCUCAUAGAUGGAGUAAUCUUUGAACACACGAGCUACGGUCUUCCAUGGAGUAGUAGAUGGCGCCAAAUAAUCAAGCAGUGAUCUCAAUUCUUCAUCCACUCCUCCAUCAAGAGCACUCAACGGUUCAAGAUAUUUGACCAUAGAUACUCUUAACUCAUUCCUGCCAUGAGACUCAAGAACUUCCGGUAUAACAAAAUCAAUCUCAUUAACAGAAAUUGUAGAGUCAGAGUUAAGAAAAUGCGGGUUAGGGAAUGGAGAUAGUGUCACCACAUUUGAUGAUUCUUCACUGGAUUCUUUCACUUGAAUGGGUUGCGGUUGGGGUUCCAUUUCUUCCUUUUCGGCUUCUUUUUCAACUGCAUCUGUACAUCUCUCUUCUUGAAAAUCUUGCAGCUCCUCAUCACUAGUCAGGCGAAUUGCACUCUCAUUUUCAACAAUGGUUUUCGAGGGCAAUUCUUCAAAUUGAGAAGCCAGUCGAUUUAUUCUGGAUGUCAAUAGACACAUUUGAUCUUCCAGAUUACUCAUUGCAUCCUUCAUCAUCUCAUUCCUCAUUUGUGUCUCCUGUUGGAAUUGGUAUGUAUUAGUAGCUAAUGAUUCAACUAUUUCUUCAAGAGACAUACCUGACAUAGAUGACGAUUCUUGAGACUCAUGCUGCUGACAAUUCAUUGGCCCCGUUGUAUAAUUAUAAUCGGAGUUAUCCCACCAUUCUUGAUCAUACCCGUUUGGAAUUGGGUUAUACCACGUUUGAAACCAGGGUGAAAAAUCUCCAUAAUUAUUGAGGGGGACACUCAGAUUAUCUUGAUAUUCGGGGCACAUACCGGUUGAAUGAUCCCUGGCAUAACAAAUUUUACAGGUUGCAGCAGCCAUUCUUUCUCUAAUAGAGUUUAGUGCCUCUGAAUAUGCAAACUUAGCAAAAAAACUAGUCUCAUCGCCUUCCCCGGAAACAAAAUCCAGACUAUCACCAAAAUAUGGAGUGUUAGAAGCCAUAAACUAUAUUAAAAAAAAUAAGAGAUAAAUAAAAUAAAAAAAUAAAAUAAAAACAAGAUGAACUCAAAAAGAAAUAAAUUAAUCUGACACCAGUCCCCGGCAACGGCGCCAAAAAUUGACAGGUGCCGAACCUGUGCAAUAAUAAUUACCUACUCAAGAAAAAUACAGAUUUUGUAUAUAGCGGUGAGUAGGGUCGAAUCCACAGGGACUGGGGAUAAUUCGUUUCUUCUGGAGUCCAAAGUAUGGGGGGUUUUGGAUUAAAUGCUAACUAAAUAAAUUAACUGCAGAAAAUAAUUAAUUAAAAGAAAUAAUUGGGAAAACUCUAGCCAAAGGUACACAUCAGAAAUGGUUCAUGCAACUGAUCAUCGAUUCAAAUAUAAUUCCAACAUUUGUUAAUAGAUUAGUUAUAGUUGUCAUGCACGCGAUAAACAACCAACCUUUCCUUACUUUUUCGAUAGUUAAGGUACGACCGUUAACUAUUUCUCUAACCCAAAAACAACCCUAGGUACGACCGUAGGAUUUAAUUUCUAGAUUGCAUUAAUAAUUAGAAAGGCCCAAUCCUAACUAACAAACACGCUACGAGGGUUUGUUUAAGUUAGAUCGUAUGCUCCUCUGACAUAAACCCAAUUACGCCAGUUGCUACUGAGAUAAAGAUAACGAACAAUUACGGAUUCAAUUAUCCCUAUUUAGCAAAAUAACCUAUGUGAAUAAUUAAAUAUUGCGCAUCUAUUCAAUCACUCACACGAGCUAUAGCAAUUAAAAGCAGGAAACAUAUAAAUACCAAUAAAUUAAGGAAGCAAUUAAAAUAAAUUAGAUCUCACAGUAAUUGUUGAACCAAAUCUUCAGUUGUCCCCUUAACUAGAAAAGCUUAACCACGCCUCAUGAGAAAAUCUCCCCGUUGGGGAAUAUUGUCGAACACCUGGCGUGUGUCAGAGGCCAGUCUAAGGAAAGAAAGAAAAGAAACUAAAACUAAACUAAAACUAGAGAUAUCCCUCAUACUCUACGUUAUCCCUAUUUAAGCAAUAAAAGAAAGAUGACUAAAGGCUAUCUAGGUGGUCCCCACACAUGUGGACAAAGCCUUCAAAGUACUUCUUGCCCCCAAGUCUCUUUCCGUAACUUUCUUUUAAGAGUCCAAAUGACUAGAUGCCUUCCACUAGCUUGUGGUCCCCACCAAUUCAAGAGCCCAAGCAUUGAAACCCUUAAAAAUCUCCAUAUUUUCCAUAAAGUCCCUCCUUUUUGGUAGUUUUCUGCUUUAUUCCUGAAAUUAAAUCCAAAUACCAAAUAUGAGUAAAUAUCAGCAAUUAACACAAUAUUUGUCAGGGAUAGAAGGGGAAAUCAAUAAUAAAAUUACUAACAAAUUAUACCCUAUCAAUUCCCCCCACACCUGAAUCAUGCUUGCCCUCAAGCAUGAGAACAACAAUUGAACACCAAAAUUCGACCAUGGCUGUUACUCCAACUACCGUAUUGCCAAGACACCAAGAAAAUCAUAUAUCAAGCGACACAGGUCAAGAUCCAAGAAAAAUCACUCCGGUUAGUAUAUAAACUACCAACUCCUCCAAUUUCAAGCAAACUAAUCUAAGAAAAAGGAAUGAUUGCUCACAUUUAUCAGCAAAUGGUCCAACUAUUAAUCCAAAUCUCAACAUUAACCCAUAGAUCGGUAAGCUGACUUUAGACACACACUUACACAACCUUCACCUUUUUUUAUCACGUUUUUCUAUUUUUCUCUUUUUUUCUUUCUUUUUUUUUUUUACUAUUUUUUUUUCUUUUUCAAUAAUAACAAAAGACUUAGUUUCUAGCCAUUAGAGCCUUUUGACGCGAACUCCAACAUUUGAUAGAUGGAGGAGCCCGGUUACUCAGCUCCAAUCGCUACGAGACCAUGCACUCAUAGCAACUACUACCUUUUGACGCGAAAAUCAACACUUUAGGUGAAGAUCCCCGGUUACUCAGUAGUAACUACUAGCGGAGUACAGUCAACUCUUAUUUACAAUCAUAUAACACAACAACUAAAAAUAACAGCAGCCAGCCUCAAAUUCCAAAUAUGGAGAACUAAAAUUAAUAAUUGGACCAAUUCACAUGAAGAAUGCCAACAAUCAUUCCCUAUGCCUAGAAGAGUUAACCAAAAAUUGAAAAAGUCAAGCAAGUAUUGAUAUUCACCAAAGAGAUGUUCCUGAACUCAACUACAUCAACUUG